This is a non-coding RNA of Odocoileus virginianus texanus, 1828 nucleotides long. The record is from RefSeq and is a predicted model, not a curated record. Lineage: Eukaryota; Metazoa; Chordata; Mammalia; Artiodactyla; Cervidae.
AUGCUGGACGGCCUGAAGAUGGAGGAGAACUUCCAAAGCGCCAUCGAAACGUCGGCCUCCUUCUCCUCGCUGCUGGGCAGAGCGGUGAGCCCGAAGUCUGUCUGCGAGGGCUGUCAGCGGGUCAUCUCGGAUAGGUUUCUGCUGCGGCUCAACGACAGCUUCUGGCAUGAGCAGUGCGUGCAAUGCGCCUCCUGCAAAGAGCCCUUGGAGACGACGUGCUUCUACCGGGACAAGAAGCUCUACUGCAAGUUUGACUACGAGAAGCUGUUUGCUGUCAAAUGUGGGGGCUGCUUUGAGGCCAUCGCACCCAACGAGUUUGUCAUGCGGGCCCAGAAGAGCGUGUACCACCUGGGCUGCUUCUGCUGCUGUGUCUGCGAGCGGCAGCUCCAGAAGGGCGAUGAGUUUGUGCUGAAGGAGGGGCAGCUGCUCUGCAAAGGGGACUAUGAGAAGGAGCGGGAGCUGCUCAGCCUGGUGAGCCCAGCAGCGUCAGACUCAGGGAAAAGUGAUGAUGAGGAAAGUCUUUGCAAGUCAGCCCACGGGGCAGGGAAAGGAGCCUCUGAGGACAGCAAGGACCAUAAGCGCCCCAAACGUCCCAGAACCAUCCUGACAACCCAACAGAGGAGAGCAUUCAAGGCCUCGUUUGAAGUAUCCUCCAAGCCGUGCAGGAAGGUGAGGGAGACCCUGGCUGCAGAGACAGGGCUGAGCGUCCGUGUGGUUCAGGUGUGGUUCCAGAACCAGAGAGCUAAGAUGAAGAAGCUGGCCCGGCGGCAGCAGCAGCAGCAGCAAGAUCAGCAGAACACCCAGAGGCUGAGUUCCGCUCAGACAAAUAGUGGUGGGAAUGCUGGCAUGGAAGGGAUCAUGAACCCCUACACGGCUCUGCCCACCCCACAGCAGCUCCUGGCCAUCGAGCAGAGUGUCUACAGCUCAGAUCCCUUCCGACAGGGGCUCACCCCACCCCAGAUGCCUGGAGACCACAUGCACCCCUAUGGUGCUGAGCCCCUCUUCCACGAGCUGGAUAGUGAGGACACCUCCCUCAGUAACCUGGGUGACUGUUUCCUAGCAACCUCAGAAGCCGGGCCCCUGCAGUCCAGAGUGGGAAACCCCAUUGAUCAUCUGUACUCCAUGCAGAAUUCUUACUUCACCUCUUGAGUCCUCCCCUUGAAUUCUGUGGCUCAGCUCCCAUUCUGGAACAACUGUAUUACUUGGCUGACCCGUGGUCCAGAUGCUCUUGGAGCUCAUAGCUCGCAGCCUCUUGGAGCUCAUAGAGGCAAAGGAGGUCCUGGUGGAAACCCAGGGCUCCUCCUCCUGGCUCUCUUUCCUGUUGCUGAGCACGGAGGACCCAGCUGCCAUUGUACACAGGGACAGUUCCACACCCUGUCCAUCACUGUGGUGCUAAGAUGGGAUCCUUCUGUGUUAGGAGGCCUCCUGAGAAACCAGAACAAGUUGAUGGGGAAGACGGAGGACUCCUCCGAGAGGGGCCGGGACAGGCUUGGCCUCACUCCUAGGGAUGUCACCCGUCAUCAGAGCUUUGGUCACCGCUGCUUGUCCCCAUCACUGUCUGCAAGGCCAGAGGGAACACAGCUCCCUAUGAUAGAGUCACUGUUGUAUGAUUUUUGUGCUCUUUUUUUAUAAUUUAUGCAAACCACCGAGAAACCUAAACCAGUCUGCUGAGUGAAAAUCAUGCAGACACGCUAUGACUACACAGGCGACUAUGGUGAAGAUCAGUUAGAGAAAAGUAGUGGAUACUGUGUGAGUGAAGAUGAAUAGAGAUCCUUAUUCCACUCCUUAAUGGCAUACCAAGAUCGAAUUAAAGACCUCUUACAAAUGA